RNAcentral lists this long non-coding RNA (1020 nucleotides) under Homo sapiens (human). Its description in RNAcentral is "HSALNT0127812". The stretch from base 214 to 350 matches the Rfam family "ST7 overlapping transcript 3 conserved region 2". The record is from RNAcentral. Lineage: Eukaryota; Metazoa; Chordata; Mammalia; Primates; Hominidae.
UGGUAUUCAGAGACGUAGAGUGGCACAGCUCCUCAGACUGCACGUUUUCCCUGAGCUCUCUACUGGAAAACAUUUCUAUAAAACAUAAGAUGGCAAAGAGGUGGAAGAAAAAUUAAUGCCAGCAGUUCAGCUUUGACUAAAUAUAAGCUUACCAAAGUCAGCAACAAUAUGCUACACAGCUGCUUUGCUCAAAGCAAGAGCUGUCUCUGACAAAUCGCCAGUACCUACUGCAACAUCUUUUCUCCCUACACAGCGACUCCAGCUUGGGAGGGCAGGGCCAGGGUUGUCACAGCUUCCCCUGUGGUGUCUGCCUGCCAAGCACAGCUCUGGAGUUAGCCCUGGGUGUGAGAUUCUCUCCUGAGGCUGCAUCUCGGCGGGGGCUGAGCACAGCAGAGAUGAAUGCAGUAGAGGCCAUUCAUAGAGCUGUGGAAUUCAAUCCUCAUGUGCCAAAAUAUCUACAUGCUGUAUUACGUAAUUAUCAUCUUCUCUGAGGGAGGAAAAAAAGUAGCUGAGAGCCACUUUCAGUCCCGCUAUUAAGUACAUUUUGGCCUCUAAGAAACUUCGUGUGGUUCACCUCAGGCUAGGUGGAAAUAGAGGCUGCCUAGAAACAUGCAUUAACAGGUGCUUCUUGGGCCACCCUAGCCUGAAGAAGGACAACCAGAGAGUAUAACAGUGGCACCUCAAUGCCUUGGCCUUGAGGACCCUCAGUGUCCCUUCAGGCCUCCAGAUUUGAGGGGAGGCUCUAGCAUGUUCUGGCUGCAGCUAUUGUCUUCAGGGAUUCUGCAGCUUGUAGCUGGGGUACUUCUACCAAUUGGAGCUGGGCUGUUGGAGUCAUCUCCACUGCCUACCACCAGGACAAGCAGAGAAGUUACCUACUAGAAAUGAAAAGCUUAAUCCUACCCCCAGAACAUAUCCUGAAGAGAGGAGACAGUGAAGCAAUAGCAUAUGCAUUCUUUCAUCUUGCACACUGGAAGAGAGUGGAAGGGGCUUUGAAUCUUUUGCAUUGUACGUGGGAAGGCA